This 254-nucleotide unclassified non-coding RNA is filed under the name Hevea brasiliensis (rubber tree). Lineage: Eukaryota; Viridiplantae; Streptophyta; Magnoliopsida; Malpighiales; Euphorbiaceae. The record is from RNAcentral.
UGCAAUUCCCUUCCUCAACAAAUACCCACAACGGAAUUACCAAGCGGAAGACCUUCUCUUAUAUUUAAUCUCGUUGUCUCUCUUUUUGAGCUUCUUCUCCCUCUCUCUGUAGUCGGUAGCUAAUAAAUGGCGGCGUCUCAAGGCAGUCUUCUCCUCCAAAAGCAGCUCAAAGAUCUCUGCAAGAAACCCGUUGAUGGAUUCUCUGCGGGUUUAGUCGAUGAGAACAAUGUAUUUGAAUGGAGUGUUUCAAUUAU